GGGUUGUAGCUCAGUGGUAGAGUGCUCACCUGGCAUGUGGAAAUCACUGGGUUCAAUCCUCAGCACCAUUCA
Molecule: transfer RNA, 72 nt
Filed under: Marmota monax (woodchuck)
Lineage: Eukaryota; Metazoa; Chordata; Mammalia; Rodentia; Sciuridae
Description: tRNA.Ala
Rfam family: tRNA
About the family: Transfer RNA (tRNA) molecules are approximately 80 nucleotides in length.
Source: RNAcentral